AGGUAGGGUGGCCGACAGUUAGGUGGCAGGCUGUAGUCCUGCUAACAUGGGUUUAAAUCCUGKUUCUACC
RNAcentral lists this transfer RNA (70 nucleotides) under Rhacodactylus auriculatus (New Caledonia bumpy gecko). RNAcentral's name for it is "partial tRNA-Tyr". It matches the Rfam family "tRNA". Rfam says of the family: Transfer RNA (tRNA) molecules are approximately 80 nucleotides in length. Lineage: Eukaryota; Metazoa; Chordata; Lepidosauria; Squamata; Diplodactylidae. The record is from RNAcentral.